Oreochromis aureus is the source of this 526-nucleotide long non-coding RNA. RefSeq lists it as uncharacterized. The transcript has 3 exons. The record is from RefSeq and is a predicted model, not a curated record. NCBI's taxonomy places the organism in Eukaryota, Metazoa, Chordata, Actinopteri, Cichliformes, Cichlidae.
CAGAAACUUUCUGCAGGUUAAUUAUUGAUCAAACUAAAGUCAUAUUAAGGAGCUACUGGCACGGAGUCAGAGCAGAGCACAGAAAUCGGAAAUAUAUCAAAGUAUAUUAAAGUUAAAGAGUUUAGAGAACACUGUUUGGUUAGCUGCCUCAAAGGCAGAUGACUCUCAAUAUCACAAGAUCAGGUGAGAUUUCAGACCAAUGGAAAAUCACCGGGAUUAUCUGUGAAGAGGCAGAAAAGCAUAGACGUGGUCUACCUUAUAGCCAUUUUGAAAAGGUGCAGCAGCUGACCUUUGACCUGUGAGCUUCAGACUCUUUGUUGGUGUGAAGUGUUUAAUCUGACGCAGUCUGCAGACACAGACGACUGCUGAUGGAGAAGAAGCAGAGGAUUUUCUCUGUUUCUACACAGACCUGGUCCAGACAGCAGAGAGCUGCAGAGUGAAGAAGUUCAUGGGAAGAAGCUGAGUGAAGGUAGAAAGUGUGUGUGAGCUGAAUUGAGCAGCAUGGAUCAGUGUGAGGACAGAGAGG